Molecule: long non-coding RNA, 659 nt
Filed under: Medicago truncatula (barrel medic)
Lineage: Eukaryota; Viridiplantae; Streptophyta; Magnoliopsida; Fabales; Fabaceae
Description: long non-coding RNA (MTRU_LNC001381)
Source: RNAcentral
UCCUCCCUUUCCUGCUCCUCCAAAUCCACCUCCUCCCCUUCCACCUCCACCAAAUCCACCUCCCUUUCUUAUAGUAAGAGAUAGUUCAUGUUUGUGAUCAUUCCGACUUUCCACGAACCCAUCGUUUUGGUUCAAAGCUUGAGCACUUGAGAUCAUCAAUAGGAAGAGUACAGAAAGUAUUAUCUUCAUGCUAGGCCUAAGGGAUUCUUUGCAAAUAAUUGGAAUCACUUGUUUGCUUUAAACAAUGUCCAGACACAGAACCUGCAAAAUAGAUUUUGAACUUUAGUCAUUGGUAGGGUUUAGGGUUUUGGAAAGGGAGUUAUAUAAAGGGUGAGAUGAGAAUUGAGAGUCUAAAGUGUACCCCUAAAAACUGGUCCAAUUAAUGACAACCUAUUACACAAUGGAUUAGCAAAUCAACUUGAUAUUAAAAUUAAUAUUAAGAAUCGAACAAACAAACAAUAAAUUCGACUUACUUAGGCACAUGCAUGAACAAACAAACAAUAAAUUCGAUAGCGAUAAUAUAUAUACAUGCUGAAAUUAAUAUUAAGAGUUUAAUAUGCAUACCUGAAAGUGAGAAACUUGAAACAAAGUGAAGAAUUGUGAAUAACAAGCAAACGACGAUUAUAACUCUCAAUAUCGACUGACUCUUUUUGUUUCCC